GGCUAAAACUGAGUGAGAUUUUGCGUAUCACGAAAAUUCGCUCAAUAUUAGAAAAAAUCAGUGCUCUUUUUUAUUUUUUAUUUCAAGUUUAGAACACGAAAUACGCACUGUCUUUAAUUAGAUGGCCAGCAGCUAAUGUAUCGAAAAAGUUUGAAUGAUAUUUGAAACAGGAACUAUGUAAACUCUUUUUAGUUAAACUUUGAUACUGUUCUCAUUUUAAAAAAUAUAUGAUGUCAGUGUAUGUAAAAUGACUAUUAAAAUGGAAUUGAUACCUAUCUUGGGUCUCUAAAUAUCAUUUAAUUUGUUGUAUGUGGUCAACAUCAAGGGUGUCUUUAAUUAUGUGACCACCACUGUAUAUACUCUUAGAGGAUAACCACCCCUUAGGAAAUACCCCCCGGCGACAGAGGAUAUAAAAGCAGCGCCACGUGGCCGAGAGCUCAUUUUGUCGGUUGGCGCUCAUUGGCAAACCAAUGGAAAUCAAUUCAUUUGAAAGUAUAUCAAUUUACAUUGUUAAAUGCACCAACUAUGUCAAAGAAGAUACAUACAAGUUUUCUUUUACAAGAGACAGCAUUGUGAAUGUCUAGCUGAAGAUGACUUAUACUCUCCUGUGCUGAUCUGCCUCUUCGAAAGCUGAAUUGAUUAUUAGAUAUUUCAGUCGGCCCCCGAUAAACAACGGAUUUACCAUCUUCGUAUAAAUCGUGCUCCUGGUAAUCGGUAGCUUCGGUUGAAGAAUCGUUCACUCUGUAACAUCUUCCUUGUACCCACAUUACAUCUGGUUUAAGAACAUUUGCCAUAACGAGCA
Molecule: long non-coding RNA, 802 nt
Organism: Hyposmocoma kahamanoa
Lineage: Eukaryota; Metazoa; Arthropoda; Insecta; Lepidoptera; Cosmopterigidae
Exons: 3
Source: RefSeq, a predicted model, not a curated record